Molecule: ribosomal RNA, 620 nt
Filed under: Peribacillus frigoritolerans
Lineage: Bacteria; Bacillati; Bacillota; Bacilli; Caryophanales; Bacillaceae
Also listed under: 1 other name
Description: bacterial SSU rRNA
Rfam family: Bacterial small subunit ribosomal RNA
Source: RNAcentral
CUUGCUCCCUGAGAUUAGCGGCGGACGGGUGAGUAACACGUGGGCAACCUGCCUAUAAGACUGGGAUAACUUCGGGAAACCGGAGCUAAUACCGGAUACGUUCUUUUCUCGCAUGAGAGAAGAUGGAAAGACGGUUUACGCUGUCACUUAUAGAUGGGCCCGCGGCGCAUUAGCUAGUUGGUGAGGUAAUGGCUCACCAAGGCGACGAUGCGUAGCCGACCUGAGAGGGUGAUCGGCCACACUGGGACUGAGACACGGCCCAGACUCCUACGGGAGGCAGCAGUAGGGAAUCUUCCGCAAUGGACGAAAGUCUGACGGAGCAACGCCGCGUGAACGAAGAAGGCCUUCGGGUCGUAAAGUUCUGUUGUUAGGGAAGAACAAGUACCAGAGUAACUGCUGGUACCUUGACGGUACCUAACCAGAAAGCCACGGCUAACUACGUGCCAGCAGCCGCGGUAAUACGUAGGUGGCAAGCGUUGUCCGGAAUUAUUGGGCGUAAAGCGCGCGCAGGUGGUUCCUUAAGUCUGAUGUGAAAGCCCACGGCUCAACCGUGGAGGGUCAUUGGAAACUGGGGGACUUGAGUGCAGAAGAGGAAAGUGGAAUUCCAAGUGUAGCGGUGA